Molecule: ribosomal RNA, 765 nt
Filed under: uncultured Inocybe
Lineage: Eukaryota; Fungi; Basidiomycota; Agaricomycetes; Agaricales; Cortinariaceae
Description: partial 28S ribosomal RNA
Rfam family: Eukaryotic large subunit ribosomal RNA
Source: RNAcentral
GAAUCCCGUCUUUGACAUGGACUACCUGUACGUUGUGGUGCGCUCUCAAAGAGUCGAGUUGUUUGGGAAUGCAGCUCAAAAUGGGUGGUAAAUGCCAUCUAAAGCUAAAUAUUGGCGAGAGACCGAUAGCGAACAAGUACCGUGAGGGAAAGAUGAAAAGAACUUUGGAAAGAGAGUUAAACAGUACGUGAAAUUGCUGAAAGGGAAACGCUUGAAGUCAGUCACGUUGGCUAGAAAUCAGCCUUGCUUUUGCUUGGUGUACUUUCUGGUUGACGGGUCAGCAUCAAUUUUGACCAUUGGAUAAAGUCUUUGGGAAUGUGGCAUCCUUUUGGAUGUGUUAUAGCCCAUUGUCGGAUACGGUGGUUGGGAUUGAGGAACUCAGCAUGCCGCAAGGCCGGGUCAUUUUUGACCACGCUCGUGCUUAGGAUGCUGGCAUAAUGGCUUUAAUCGACCCGUCUUGAAACACGGACCAAGGAGUCUAACAUGCCUGCGAGUGUUUGGGUGGAAAACCCAUGCGCGCAAUGAAAGUGAAAGUUGAGAUCCCUUUCAAAGGGGGAGCAUUGACGCCCGGACCAGACCUUCUGUGACGGAUCCGCGGUAGAGCAUGUAUGUUGGGACCCGAAAGAUGGUGAACUAUGCCUGAAUAGGGUGAAGCCAGAGGAAACUCUGGUGGAGGCUCGUAGCGAUUCUGACGUGCAAAUCGAUCGUCAAAUUUGGGUAUAGGGGCGAAAGACUAAUCGAACCAUCUAGUAGCUGGUUCCUGCC